UUAUCCUUGAGAUUCAGUUAAUAUUGUUUGAAAUGAUUAUGUGUGUGUUCAACUUUUUGUGACAUAGAGUGAUUAAAAUGGUAGUGUGAUUGUUAAAUUAUCUAAGAUGAAAUAUUUUGGUCAAUUUGGUCUAUCUAUUAUAUUUUUGACCUUGAAAGGAUGUGAUUUUGAACUAAGGAACGAGUAAAAAUGGUUGGAUAAACAAUACUAACACUAAUGUAAAAUAAGGCUUCAACGUCUCUCGUUCAACGUUAGAAUACAAAAAAAAACAACUUUAAAAAUUACCAAUGUGAUGGAAGAGCCUGAGGAGGUGACCGAUUAGCAACGCAGGUAAGGCUCCUUGAAGCUUCUCCGACGAGUAAAGAUGUAGUGGAAUAAUUAGGAACUCGAGAUCGAAGAGGAAACCGAGAGCGAACACAAGGAAAACCCUAAGAUAAAGAAGGAAACCCUAAAAGUGGGGAGAGACUCGAAUCAGACUGAUUAAACAGUGGAAAUAUGGGUUUGAUCGGUGUAAAAGUGUUUAAAGGAUAGAAAAUGGUUUUAAUCAGCUAAAUUUGAAGGAAAAUGGAAAAGGAUGAAGGAAACCCUAGCGGAGGCCAUAGAUCAAAGAAGGAAUCGGUGUAAUGGAAGGAAAUGGUGAUAAAAAUGGAGGAGAAACAAAGAAGAUGUGCAAAUUUGUGAAGGAAGGAUGCUUACGGAUGAUGCGAGCUCUCAAAGAAGACGAACGCUCCCAUGGACGUCGAAGGCGAGAACGAGAAUGUAGUUUCUGGGAGAUGGAAGGAAAGCCAAAUGAAGAUAUGUGUGGCUGAUACACUGAAUGUUGACACAAUGAAGCGCAAACGCGUGUAAGGACGUGGCGGUGGAGGAUGCGGCGUGGAGGAAAGAGAUUGUAUGGAAGCACAGUGAAGAAAUGGAAAUGAAAUGGAAGUAGUGUGCUUGGAAGGUGGCUAGAGGCGGAUCUCUUUGACUCUCUAACUUGACUUUCAAGAGAGAAUUGUGUCUGGAUUUUCUCUACAGAAAUCACAAUUCAAUAUUCUCAAAAGUGUUUCAUACAAUGGUGGAGAUAGGUAUUUAUAAGGCCCAUGCUUCCUACAAGCUAAUAAUACAAUACACUGAAAAAUGUAAAAUACAAAAAGACAAAGGGUUCUUAGGUGUAUUCCAUCACAAUGGCAUUUUUGUAAAUAAACGCUCAAUUUAGAUGUCAGAAUUUAUAUGCUCAUUAGACGUCGAAAUUCUCAUGUUUCAAUGUCAUAUUGGGUAAAUUUCAUGAAAAUGUUGAAGUACCUGAAAAAUACUAAAAAGGGAGGGAGCGGUGGGGGGAGGGGGGUUGAAUAAUGUUAAUGGAAAAACUUUUUUCCAAUCUACCUUGUAGAAAAAGAUAGGCCAAGUGUCUCAACCAAGAGGGGGGGUGAACUAGUUCCCUUUAUAAAAAUAUGUUCUUUUAAAAUCUUUUCAAAGUCUUUUGAGAUUUCUUGGAAUGUAAUCAAUAAAGAAUAAAAGCAAUGUGAAAGCAAUGUAAAAGUGUAGGGAAAGAGAGAUUAACACUACAAUUUAUACUGGUUCGGCCAACCUAUCUACAUCCAGUCUUCUUUCAAUCAACCUUAGAUUGAAAGGAUUUCACUAUUUUGAUUGGGUUCUUACAAGCAAGACAUACAGAGACAACCUUCCUAAUCUAGUCUCCUCUCUAAUUCCAAAUCCAAUAUAGUAACCCAGAAAGAACAACUACUUUUCUGUCAACUCUUAGAGAUACCCCACUCUAAGUCACUAGAACUUCU
This 1775-nucleotide long non-coding RNA is filed under the name Vigna radiata. Its description in RNAcentral is "long non-coding RNA (VRAD_LNC004988)". The record is from RNAcentral. Lineage: Eukaryota; Viridiplantae; Streptophyta; Magnoliopsida; Fabales; Fabaceae.